Long non-coding RNA from Culex quinquefasciatus (southern house mosquito), 1734 nucleotides. RefSeq lists it as uncharacterized. The record is from RefSeq and is a predicted model, not a curated record. The transcript has 4 exons. NCBI's taxonomy places the organism in Eukaryota, Metazoa, Arthropoda, Insecta, Diptera, Culicidae.
AAGGCGAAUCGUACCUCGAGCUCAACUGAAAUCAGUGGGGCAAUCUACUCGCGAUGGUCAAGCGUCUGAAAGCCGAAGAUCACCUGGAUGCCUGGAUGCAGGAGAACCAUCGACGAGACGACGCGAUGUGGAAAAUCUCCUUUAGCACGGUUUGCAUGGUGGAGGAGACGAAUCUGAUGAUUGGCACGAUCGAGAGUCGAAGGAACAUUUCACGAACAAGUUCAGAAUUUGAUUUCAACAAGAAACAUCCCGCGCCAUCUUGUCCCACUGGCACUGGCUUGACCUGCAGCGAUUCCCUAGCACACCCUGUGGCUACUGGAACCUGGAGCAGAAAACUGUUCAGUACCUGUCCGAUUUCAACGCGAGUUUCCUCAACGUUUGUUUUGAAUAAUCGUGUAGAUUAUUCAAAACAAACGUCGAGGAAAAAUAGUGUAGUUAAAGGAAAAAUAUCAAUCUUGAAACAAAAAAAAGUUCAAAGUGUAAAUACAGUUUGUUUUGUUUUGUGUCGCUUGCUGUGAUGACAGCUGGUGAAUCAAAGUUUCGUGUUUCGAUAGAUGCAAUCUUUUUCGGCGCUGAUUACAUUUAGUGUUUCAUGCCCACCAUGGCCGCAACGGACGUGGACCAAGAAAAGGACACCGGAUAGGCGGAUUAAGCGGAAAGAAAUCCCCAGCAACAAGGUAACACACAGAAAUCUCAGAUGGAGUUUGAGACGGAAUCGUCCAAGGCAGCGACGGUCAUGACGUUGAGAACGGUGGCCGCUGGACUACCCUGGAAGAAUCCAUCGGUGUGUGAUAUUGAUUGUGGAACGGCCAACGAUUUUUUCCGGCGCAUCGAGUUCGCUGAAACCGAGUUUAGCGGAGAACAAUUCGUCGUUGCUGGAUCGAUUUGGUUUCCGGAAGAUCCGGCGCCAGCGGGAUGACGGUGGAACGGUGCUGUCGGAAUCUGAGCUGGAACCGUAACAGGCUGUCUUGUUGGCUAAACGAACAGAAGAUGUACGGAUGACGACCAGAAAACAGCAACAUAAGAUCAACAUAACUCAAGAAUGUACUUUAUUCAACGUAGAGAGGAAUAUCACCAGCCACGUAUUGGACAAAAAAGAUAAGUGAACAUUUUUAUCAUGGUGUAAACUAGAGAUUUGGCGGAUUGUUUUUAUUUACAGGUGUGUCCCUCAGUUACGCUUCGGACCUGAACCUGAUUUUUGAAGCAGCGGUGUUACCGUAGAAGACGGUAUUCAGGCCGGUGUAGCACGACAGCGCAACUUCCCAUCGGCAGAACUCCAAUUUAAGCAAAAUCGGCAGCUGAAGGUUAUGUCAAACCUGGGCCCAUUUCACCAGACCGACAACUUUCACAGAAUGGCAGAGAUGGAGCUGUUCGAGGAUUGGCUUCUGCGAUUGCUACUAAAAUUCUGGACGAGGUUUACUGCCACUCGAAGCCAAUCUGUUCCAUAUGUAAUUUUGUCAAAUUUGAGUUAAUGAUAUUAGUCCUAAAUCAUGUGAACUAUCAGAAAACUAAUAAUAUGGAGUACUUCAUUCCAGAAAACUAAGAUAGUCACACUUUUUCGUGAAAUCCUAACACUUAGCCUUAAGGGCGGGACACAUUUGCCUUACGUUUUUCUCAGCUUGUUGUUUUUACAAAUGGGAUGGACUAGAUUCGAGCGGCAGUUUACAACCUAGUUCAACCCUGUGCUGCAUGAGAUGUCUCAUUGAGCUAUGAUGUUAGAAUUAUAUAAAAAAA